Molecule: ribosomal RNA, 254 nt
Filed under: uncultured bacterium
Lineage: Bacteria
Description: partial 16S ribosomal RNA
Rfam family: Bacterial small subunit ribosomal RNA
Source: RNAcentral
UACGGAGGGUGCGAGCGUUGUCCGGAAUCACUGGGCGUAAAGGGCGCGUAGGCGGCAUGCCAAGCGUGUGGUGAAAUCCCCGGGCUCAACCCCGGGAACUGCGUCCGAUACUGGCAGGCUUGAAUCCGGGAGAGGGAUGCGGAAUUCCAGGUGUAGCGGUGAAAUGCGUAGAUAUCGGGAGGAACACCGGUGGCGAAGGCGGCGAUCUGGGUAGAUACUGACGCUGAGGUGCGAAAGCGUGGGGAGCAAACAGG